Molecule: ribosomal RNA, 253 nt
Filed under: uncultured bacterium
Lineage: Bacteria
Description: partial 16S ribosomal RNA
Rfam family: Bacterial small subunit ribosomal RNA
Source: RNAcentral
UACGAAGGGGGCUAGCGUUACUCGGAAUGACUGGGCGUAAAGGGCGCGUAGGCUGUUUGCUUAGUUAGGCGUGAAAUUCCUGGGCUCAACCUGGGGGCUGCGCUUAAUACAGGUAGACUGGAGUGUGAAAGAGGGUCGUGGAAUUCCCAGUGUAGAGGUGAAAUUCGUAGAUAUUGGGAAGAACACCGGUGGCGAAGGCGGCGACCUGGUUCAUUACUGACGCUGAGGCGCGAAAGCGUGGGGAGCAAACAGG